Molecule: non-coding RNA, 119 nt
Organism: Pteropus alecto (black flying fox)
Lineage: Eukaryota; Metazoa; Chordata; Mammalia; Chiroptera; Pteropodidae
Source: Rfam
GUCCACGGCCAUGCUACCCGGAACAAGCUCAAUUCUGUCUGAUCUCGGAAGCUAAGCAAGGUCGGGCCUGGUUAGUACUUGGAUGGGAGACCACCUCGGAAGACCAGGUGCUGUAGGCA